RNAcentral lists this ribosomal RNA (253 nucleotides) under uncultured bacterium. Its description in RNAcentral is "partial 16S ribosomal RNA". It matches the Rfam family "Bacterial small subunit ribosomal RNA", at positions 524 to 776 of the family's 1533-position model. The record is from RNAcentral.
UACGUAGGUGGCAAGCGUUGUCCGGAAUUAUUGGGCGUAAAGCGCGCGCAGGCGGUCCUUUAAGUCUGAUGUGAAAGCCAACGGCUCAACCGUGGAAGGUCAUUGGAAACUGGAGGACUUGAGUACAGAAGAGGAAAGCGGAAUUCCACGUGUAGCGGUGAAAUGCGUAGAGAUGUGGAGGAACACCAGUGGCGAAGGCGGCUUUCUGGUCUGUAACUGACGCUGAGGCGCGAAAGCGUGGGGAGCAAACAGG